Molecule: ribosomal RNA, 325 nt
Filed under: uncultured eukaryote
Lineage: Eukaryota
Description: partial 18S ribosomal RNA
Rfam family: Eukaryotic small subunit ribosomal RNA
Source: RNAcentral
CCCUUAGAUGUUCUGGGCCGCACGCGCGCUACACUGAUGCAUUCAACGAGCCUAUCCUUGACCGACAGGUCCGGGUAAUCUUUGAAUCUGCAUCGUGACGGGGAUAGAUUAUUGCAAUUAUUAAUCUUCGACGAGGAAUGCCUAGUAGGCGCAAGUCAUCAGCUUGCGUCGAUUACGUCCCUGCCCUUUGUACGCACCGCCCGUCGCUCCUACCGAUUGGGUGUGCUGGUGAAAUGUUCGGAUCGGCCGUUUGUCGCGGUUUCCGCGGCUCGUGGCUGAGAAGUUCAUUAAACCCUCCCACCUAGAGGAAGGAGAAGUCGUAACA